AGAAGAAGAAGCUACUAGCAUUUGAUUGUUACUCAAAAAUAGCAUAACACAAUUUUAUGCCUUCUUUA
RNAcentral lists this transfer RNA (68 nucleotides) under Hypselodoris apolegma. Its description in RNAcentral is "tRNA-Asn". The record is from RNAcentral. Lineage: Eukaryota; Metazoa; Mollusca; Gastropoda; Nudibranchia; Chromodorididae.